AUGAUAAUUUUGUCUCUAGGGGGCAUUUAUAAGGAACUAUUUAUAGUGGUGGAAGUCUUUAUCUGGAUUAUGUUUUUAUUAAGCUUCUUCUAUUGGGUAGAGUUGGUGACAUUUACGUCAGUAUAUAUUUUCCAAUGUAGGAAAGCUUUUCCCUUUACAUCUGCAACAAGAUUUCACCUGUAUGGACCAUUACCUGGAAGCUACCUCCUCUUUGUCUGUUAGCUGGAGACUGGAGUUAGAAGAUGCUGACAAAAUAGUGUAUCAGACAGUGUGGGUUAGUAAAAUAUGGCUUUAGGAUGGAGAGACUCUUUCUCCUCUCCAUUGUCUGUUUCUUCUUCUCUUUUUGUCUUUUUUCAGUCCCGCCUCCUUCAUUGGCCCUCUGCUUUCUUUUUUCUACACUGACUUUUCCUUUAAAGAUGAUUACUUGGAUUCUGAGAGAUGAAAGAAGCCCUCCGAUUCUUCCCAGUGGGUUAAGCUUCUCACUGGAAGUUGAAUAACCAGGUAGUAUAUUUAAGCUGUAAAACUGCCUCUGGCUUCUCCUACCCCAUACUGAAUAAAC
Molecule: long non-coding RNA, 559 nt
Filed under: Vulpes vulpes (red fox)
Lineage: Eukaryota; Metazoa; Chordata; Mammalia; Carnivora; Canidae
Description: lncRNA (ENSVVUG00000015343.1)
Source: RNAcentral